RNAcentral lists this ribosomal RNA (253 nucleotides) under uncultured bacterium. RNAcentral describes it as "partial 16S ribosomal RNA". It matches the Rfam family "Bacterial small subunit ribosomal RNA", at positions 524 to 776 of the family's 1533-position model. The record is from RNAcentral.
UACGAAGGGGGCUAGCGUUGCUCGGAAUUACUGGGCGUAAAGGGCGCGUAGGCGGACAGUUAAGUCGGGGGUGAAAGCCCGGGGCUCAACCUCGGAAUUGCCUUCGAUACUGGCUGUCUUGAGUGCGGGAGAGGUGUGUGGAACUCCGAGUGUAGAGGUGAAAUUUGUAGAUAUUCGGAAGAACACCAGUGGCGAAGGCGACACACUGGCCCGUUACUGACGCUGAGGCGCGAAAGCGUGGGGAGCAAACAGG